This 418-nucleotide ribosomal RNA is filed under the name uncultured eukaryote. Its description in RNAcentral is "SSU rRNA". It matches the Rfam family "Eukaryotic small subunit ribosomal RNA", at positions 592 to 1008 of the family's 1831-position model. The record is from RNAcentral.
CAAUAGCGUAUAUUAAAGUUGUUGCAGUUAAAAAGACUCGUAGUUGGAUUUCUGUUCUCGAGGAUCGGUCCGCCUCACGGUGAGCACUGGUUUUUCUUGGGGACAUCCUCUCGAAGGCGGGUGGUGCACUUAAUUGUGUGCUGCUUGGGAUUCGGGGACCUUUACUUUGAAAAAUUAGAGUGUUCAAAGCAGGCGUCGGCUUGAAUACAUUAGCAUGGAAUAAUGGAAUAGGACUUUGGUUCUAUUUUGUUGGUUUCUAGGACCGAAGUAAUGAUUAAUAGGGACAGUUGGGGGCAUUAGUAUUUAAGUUGUCAGAGGUGAAAUUCUUGGAUUUAUGAAAGACUAACUACUAGCGAAAAGCAUUUGCCAAGGAUGUUUUCAUUAAUCUAAGAACGAAAGUUAGGGGAUCGAAGACGGA